Sparus aurata (gilthead seabream) is the source of this 1709-nucleotide long non-coding RNA. The record is from Ensembl. NCBI's taxonomy places the organism in Eukaryota, Metazoa, Chordata, Actinopteri, Spariformes, Sparidae.
UCAUUUUCCUUAUUAAAAAUAUAAAUUUUAGCUUUCUCCUUGCAUCUCGGGGAGUGAUGUACGGAAGAGCAUUAGGGCCACAUGUGAAUUUUUUUUUUAGUUCUGAUUUUAAAGUCAGAAUUCUGAGAUUAAAGUCAGAAUUCUGACUUUUUUCUCAGAAUUCUGACUUUUUUCUCAGAAUUCUGAGAUUAAAGUCAGCAUUCUGACUUUUUUCCUCAGAAUUCUGACUUUUUUCUCAGAAUUCUGACUUUAAAGUCAGAACUAUAAAAAAAAUUCACAUGUGGCCCUAAUCCUCUUCCGUAGUGAUGUCACGUAUGCAACAAGUUGCAUUUUCAGCAUGUGGACAACAUACGAGUAAAACCAAGCAGCGACACAAACAUGAACAACAACGGAGGGAGGAGAGAGAUGAACGUUUUCUAGCUGGAAAUACAGUCAUUAUUUUGAGUUAGUGUCAGCUAAAGAUAAGAAUAUUAAUAUCGUUGUACACUCUGUGCUGGCAACAAAGUACUAUGAAGCUUCAAAAACAACGUCAAAUUUGAAGAAACAUUUGGAGUUGCAGCACAGUUAAUUUACAGAGCAAGUCCCAGCAGGUGGUGUUAAGUAGAGAGCUGCGAGCAAAAGCAAAGAUGUCAUUCCACGUCAUCCUAACCAGACGCAGUGUACCCUCAUCCAGUACAGUACAUCUCCAGGUGGGCACUUCUGCUCACUGACACUGGUCCGGAGCCUGUCGACAGAACAAGCUCUCCAUUUGGGUUGGCAUUCGUCGGCAGUUCAGGCAGGUGCACCACGCAGGCUGCCCUCUGCCUGGAACAUGUGGUCCUGGUGUCUGUUGCCAGAACUCCAGGAUGUCCAGCAGCACCCCUGUUUCUGUUGCACCUACUUCUGGAGACAUUCAGCAGAAUUUCCCCUACAACACUGGAGUGGACAGUUCAUGGAUCCCCCCUGCAAAACUAGAAUCGACUGAUUUGAAUAGCUAGAUGAUAGUGAUGAUCUGUUCUAUGGAGCAGAUGACAUUUUCAUCGCCAGCAUACCAGAUGCCACCCUAGCAGUCUUUGAAUACUCCCUUCCACUCUCAGCAGCCCCUUUUAGAUAGAAAAGGCGGCAAAUUUGUGACAAGGUAAAGGUGGUAAUGUGCUGCCCUGUUAUUGUAAAAGGGAGGUGUAAUAUUCCUCCUUUUCCAAAAGCCGCCACUUGGCUGCCACUGGGGUAGGCGUAAACAUGUGACAUGGCGUGAAGCACGGAGUUGGGCAGUGAACAGUGACAACAAAUUUGUCUUCAAAAUAAGAGCUUCACAUUGCACCCCAUUGGAGUUUAGAACUGGGUUCUUAGCAGGAGGCUUUUAAUUUGAAAGUAGUGACUGUUCGUAGCUUGCCGCUAAAACAACAAGCAAACACAACCAAACAGCUCAAGAGACUGAGGAGACGCUAGCAUCUCCUGGAUCUCAGCGGCUUUCCAGUUGCUCAUCAUGAUGUCCGCAGAUGAAGUAAUGGACUGGCUGCUGUGAUCAGCUGUUUCCUGGAUAUAAAACACCCUGGCUGCGAGUCGCACGACAGUGCACAUCAUCGACACCUCCGCCCAUCUCACGCAACUGCCGGCACAUUGACGUCUCGAUUUAGAUAGCAAUGGAAGCGGAAAUAAGUGUACCCUCGGAGGCGGCAAAUUGGCGGACAACAACAGACUACUGUUUAUCAUUUCAGGUUAGGCUCACC